UUAAGCGACUAAGCGUACACGGUGGAUGCCCUGGCAGUCAGAGGCGAUGAAGGACGUGCUAAUCUGCGAUAAGCGUCGGUAAGGUGAUAUGAACCGUUAUAACCGGCGAUUUCCGAAUGGGGAAACCCAGUGUGAUUCGUCACACUAUCAUUAACUGAAUCCAUAGGUUAAUGAGGCGAACCGGGGGAACUGAAACAUCUAAGUACCCCGAGGAAAAGAAAUCAACCGAGAUUCCCCCAGUAGCGGCGAGCGAACGGGGAGCAGCCCAGAGCCUGAAUCAGUGUGUGUGUUAGUGGAAGCGUCUGGAAAGGCGUGCGAUACAGGGUGACAGCCCCGUACACAAAAAUGCACAUAUUGUGAGCUCGAUGAGUAGGGCGGGACACGUGGUAUCCUGUCUGAAUAUGGGGGGACCAUCCUCCAAGGCUAAAUACUCCUGACUGACCGAUAGUGAACCAGUACCGUGAGGGAAAGGCGAAAAGAACCCCGGCGAGGGGAGUGAAAAAGAACCUGAAACCGUGUACGUACAAGCAGUGGGAGCACGCUUAGGCGUGUGACUGCGUACCUUUUGUAUAAUGGGUCAGCGACUUAUAUUCUGUAGCAAGGUUAACCGAAUAGGGGAGCCGAAGGGAAACCGAGUCUUAACUGGGCGUUAAGUUGCAGGGUAUAGACCCGAAACCCGGUGAUCUAGCCAUGGGCAGGUUGAAGGUUGGGUAACACUAACUGGAGGACCGAACCGACUAAUGUUGAAAAAUUAGCGGAUGACUUGUGGCUGGGGGUGAAAGGCCAAUCAAACCGGGAGAUAGCUGGUUCUCCCCGAAAGCUAUUUAGGUAGCGCCUCGUGAAUUCAUCUCCGGGGGUAGAGCACUGUUUCGGCAAGGGGGUCAUCCCGACUUACCAACCCGAUGCAAACUGCGAAUACCGGAGAAUGUUAUCACGGGAGACACACGGCGGGUGCUAACGUCCGUCGUGAAGAGGGAAACAACCCAGACCGCCAGCUAAGGUCCCAAAGUCAUGGUUAAGUGGGAAACGAUGUGGGAAGGCCCAGACAGCCAGGAUGUUGGCUUAGAAGCAGCCAUCAUUUAAAGAAAGCGUAAUAGCUCACUGGUCGAGUCGGCCUGCGCGGAAGAUGUAACGGGGCUAAACCAUGCACCGAAGCUGCGGCAGCGACGCUGAUGCGUUGUUGGGUAGGGGAGCGUUCUGUAAGCCUGUGAAGGUGUACUGUGAGGUAUGCUGGAGGUAUCAGAAGUGCGAAUGCUGACAUAAGUAACGAUAAAGCGGGUGAAAAGCCCGCUCGCCGGAAGACCAAGGGUUCCUGUCCAACGUUAAUCGGGGCAGGGUGAGUCGACCCCUAAGGCGAGGCCGAAAGGCGUAGUCGAUGGGAAACAGGUUAAUAUUCCUGUACUUGGUGUUACUGCGAAGGGGGGACGGAGAAGGCUAUGUUGGCCGGGCGACGGUUGUCCCGGUUUAAGCGUGUAGGCUGGUUUUCCAGGCAAAUCCGGAAAAUCAAGGCUGAGGCGUGAUGACGAGGCACUACGGUGCUGAAGCAACAAAUGCCCUGCUUCCAGGAAAAGCCUCUAAGCAUCAGGUAACAUCAAAUCGUACCCCAAACCGACACAGGUGGUCAGGUAGAGAAUACCAAGGCGCUUGAGAGAACUCGGGUGAAGGAACUAGGCAAAAUGGUGCCGUAACUUCGGGAGAAGGCACGCUGAUAUGUAGGUGAAGCGACUUGCUCGUGGAGCUGAAAUCAGUCGAAGAUACCAGCUGGCUGCAACUGUUUAUUAAAAACACAGCACUGUGCAAACACGAAAGUGGACGUAUACGGUGUGACGCCUGCCCGGUGCCGGAAGGUUAAUUGAUGGGGUCAGCGCAAGCGAAGCUCUUGAUCGAAGCCCCGGUAAACGGCGGCCGUAACUAUAACGGUCCUAAGGUAGCGAAAUUCCUUGUCGGGUAAGUUCCGACCUGCACGAAUGGCGUAAUGAUGGCCAGGCUGUCUCCACCCGAGACUCAGUGAAAUUGAACUCGCUGUGAAGAUGCAGUGUACCCGCGGCAAGACGGAAAGACCCCGUGAACCUUUACUAUAGCUUGACACUGAACAUUGAGCCUUGAUGUGUAGGAUAGGUGGGAGGCUUUGAAGUGUGGACGCCAGUCUGCAUGGAGCCGACCUUGAAAUACCACCCUUUAAUGUUUGAUGUUCUAACGUUGACCCGUGAUCCGGGUUGCGGACAGUGUCUGGUGGGUAGUUUGACUGGGGCGGUCUCCUCCUAAAGAGUAACGGAGGAGCACGAAGGUUGGCUAAUCCUGGUCGGACAUCAGGAGGUUAGUGCAAUGGCAUAAGCCAGCUUGACUGCGAGCGUGACGGCGCGAGCAGGUGCGAAAGCAGGUCAUAGUGAUCCGGUGGUUCUGAAUGGAAGGGCCAUCGCUCAACGGAUAAAAGGUACUCCGGGGAUAACAGGCUGAUACCGCCCAAGAGUUCAUAUCGACGGCGGUGUUUGGCACCUCGAUGUCGGCUCAUCACAUCCUGGGGCUGAAGUAGGUCCCAAGGGUAUGGCUGUUCGCCAUUUAAAGUGGUACGCGAGCUGGGUUUAGAACGUCGUGAGACAGUUCGGUCCCUAUCUGCCGUGGGCGCUGGAGAACUGAGGGGGGCUGCUCCUAGUACGAGAGGACCGGAGUGGACGCAUCACUGGUGUUCGGGUUGUCAUGCCAAUGGCACUGCCCGGUAGCUAAAUGCGGAAGAGAUAAGUGCUGAAAGCAUCUAAGCACGAAACUUGCCCCGAGAUGAGUUCUCCCUGACUCCUUGAGAGUCCUGAAGGAACGUUGAAGACGACGACGUUGAUAGGCCGGGUGUGUAAGCGCAGCGAUGCGUUGAGCUAACCGGUACUAAUGAACCGUGAGGCUUAACCU
This 2901-nucleotide ribosomal RNA is filed under the name Escherichia coli O8:H8. Its description in RNAcentral is "23S ribosomal RNA". It matches the Rfam family "Bacterial large subunit ribosomal RNA". Lineage: Bacteria; Pseudomonadati; Pseudomonadota; Gammaproteobacteria; Enterobacterales; Enterobacteriaceae. The record is from RNAcentral.